RNAcentral lists this ribosomal RNA (492 nucleotides) under uncultured bacterium. RNAcentral's name for it is "partial 16S ribosomal RNA". It matches the Rfam family "Bacterial small subunit ribosomal RNA", at positions 29 to 507 of the family's 1533-position model. The record is from RNAcentral.
AGUGAACGCUGGCGGUAGGCCUAACACAUGCAAGUCGAACGGCAGCACAGUAAGAGCUUGCUCUUACGGGUGGCGAGUGGCGGACGGGUGAGGAAUACAUCGGAAUCUACUUUUUCGUGGGGGAUAACGUAGGGAAACUUACGCUAAUACCGCAUACGACCUACGGGUGAAAGCAGGGGAUCUUCGCACCUUGCGCGAUUGAAUGAGCCGAUGUCGGAUUAGCUAGUUGGCGGGGUAAAGGCCCACCAAGGCGACGAUCCGUAGCUGGUCUGAGAGGAUGAUCAGCCACACUGGAACUGAGACACGGUCCAGACUCCUACGGGAGGCAGCAGUGGGGAAUAUUGGACAAUGGGCGCAAGCCUGAUCCAGCCAUACCGCGUGAGUGAAGAAGGCCUUCGGGUUGUAAAGCCCUUUUGUUGGGAAAGAAAAGCAGCAGGUUAAUACCCCGAUGUUCUGACGGUACCCAAAGAAUAAGCACCGGCUAACUUCGUG